This 57-nucleotide transfer RNA is filed under the name Doriprismatica atromarginata. Its description in RNAcentral is "tRNA-Ser". The record is from RNAcentral. Lineage: Eukaryota; Metazoa; Mollusca; Gastropoda; Nudibranchia; Chromodorididae.
UUUUGUUCAGAUAAAGGUUUUGAAAACCUUGAGGGAGAAAGAAUUUCUCAACAAAUU